AGCCUAGUAGAGUGCCAAACGGGUGAGUACCGCGUGGGUACCGUACCCUGAUCCUGGGAAUAACCCUCGGAAACGAGGGCUACUACCGAAUGUGGCGAACGACCGGUUGGUCGCUCGCUAAAGGUGGCCUCUUCUAUGCUGCCGGGUUGGGAUCGGCCCGCGUCCCAUUAGCUAGUUGGUGAGGUAACCGGGUCACCAAUGCCACGAUUGGGUAGCCGGCCUGAGAUGGUGUACGGCCACACUGGCACUGAGACAAGGGCCAGUCCCCUAUGGGAGGCGCAUGCGGGAAUAGUUCACCAAUGGGCGAAAGCCUGAUGACGCCGACGCCGCGUGAGCGACGAAGACCUUCGGGUUGUAAAAGCUCUGUCAGGAGGGAAGAAUGCUCUACGGGUUAAUAGCCCGUGGAAUUGCACGGUACCUCCAAGAGGAAGCCCCGGCUAAAUACGUGCCAGCAGCCGAGGUAAUACGUAUGGGGCAAGCGUUGUCCGGAUUUACUGGGCGUAAAGGGCGCGUAGGCGGUUUGUUAAGUCGAAGGUGAAAUCCUCGGGCUCAACUCGAGAAUUGCUUUCGAUAUUGGCAAACUAAAGUGGCGGAGAGGAAAGCGGAACUCUUGGUGUAACGCUGGAAUGUGUAGAUAUCAAGAGGAACACCGGUGGCGAAGNCGGCUUUCUGGACGCACACUGACGCUCAGGCGCGAAAGCGUGGGUAGCAAACAGGAUUAGAUACCGUGGUAGUCCACGCCAUAANCGAUGGGUACUAGGUGUCGGGGGUAUCGACCCAUCCGGUGCCGCAGUUAACGCACUAAGUACACCGCCUGGGGAUUAUGGUCGCGAGGCUGAAACUCAAAGGAAUGACAGGGCACCCGCACAAGCGGUGGAGCAUGUGGUUUAAUUCGACGCAACGCGAAGAACCUUACCUGGGCUUGACAUGCUUGGGACAGCGCUGGAAACAGCGUCUCUCAUUCGGGAGCCAUUGCACAGGUGCUGCAUGGCUGUCGUCAGCUCGUGUCGUGAGAUGUUGGGUUAAGUCCCGCAACGAGCGCAACCCUCGUUACUAGUGCACAUCAGUUCGGCUGGGCACUCUAGUGAGACUGCCGGUGAUAACCGGAGGGAAGGUGAGGAUGAUGUCAAGUCAUCAUG
RNAcentral lists this ribosomal RNA (1139 nucleotides) under uncultured organism. RNAcentral describes it as "bacterial SSU rRNA". It matches the Rfam family "Bacterial small subunit ribosomal RNA", at positions 84 to 1197 of the family's 1533-position model. The record is from RNAcentral.